Molecule: ribosomal RNA, 232 nt
Filed under: uncultured bacterium
Lineage: Bacteria
Description: partial 16S ribosomal RNA
Rfam family: Bacterial small subunit ribosomal RNA
Source: RNAcentral
CCUACGGGGCGCAGCAGUGAGGAAUAUUGGUCAAUGGGCGCGAGCCUGAACCAGCCAAGUCGCGUGAGGGAAGACGGUCCUAUGGAUUGUAAACCUCUUUUGUCGGGGAGCAAGGGGCGGGUCGAGACCUGCUGUGGGAGUACCUGAAGAAAAAGCAUCGGCUAACUCCGUGCCAGCAGCCGCGGUAAUACGGAGGAUGCGAGCGUUAUCCGGAUUUAUUGGGUUUAAAGGG